RNAcentral lists this ribosomal RNA (1455 nucleotides) under Corynebacterium sp. Its description in RNAcentral is "bacterial SSU rRNA". It matches the Rfam family "Bacterial small subunit ribosomal RNA". Lineage: Bacteria; Bacillati; Actinomycetota; Actinomycetes; Mycobacteriales; Corynebacteriaceae. The record is from RNAcentral.
GGACGAACGCUGGCGGCGUGCUUAACACAUGCAAGUCGAACGGAAAGGCCUCAGCUUGCUGGGGUACUCGAGUGGCGAACGGGUGAGUAACACGUGGGUGAUCUGCCUUGUACUUCGGGAUAAGCCUGGGAAACUGGGUCUAAUACUGGAUAGGACCAUGCUUUAGUGUGUCAUGGUGGAAAGUUUUUUCGGUACAAGAUGAGCCCGCGGCCUAUCAGCUUGUUGGUGGGGUAAUGGCCUACCAAGGCGUCGACGGGUAGCCGGCCUGAGAGGGUGGACGGCCACAUUGGGACUGAGAUACGGCCCAGACUCCUACGGGAGGCAGCAGUGGGGAAUAUUGCACAAUGGGCGGAAGCCUGAUGCAGCGACGCCGCGUGGGGGAUGACGGCCUUCGGGUUGUAAACCUCUUUCGACAGGGACGAAGCUUUUGUGACGGUACCUGUAUAAGAAGCACCGGCUAACUACGUGCCAGCAGCCGCGGUAAUACGUAGGGUGCGAGCGUUGUCCGGAAUUACUGGGCGUAAAGAGCUCGUAGGUGGUUUGUCGCGUCGUCUGUGAAAUACCGGGGCUUAACUCCGGAGCUGCAGGCGAUACGGGCAUAACUUGAGUGCUGUAGGGGAGACUGGAAUUCCUGGUGUAGCGGUGGAAUGCGCAGAUAUCAGGAGGAACACCGAUGGCGAAGGCAGGUCUCUGGGCAGUAACUGACGCUGAGGAGCGAAAGCAUGGGGAGCGAACAGGAUUAGAUACCCUGGUAGUCCAUGCCGUAAACGGUGGGCGCUAGGUGUAGGGGUCUUCCACGACUUCUGUGCCGUAGCUAACGCAUUAAGCGCCCCGCCUGGGGAGUACGGCCGCAAGGCUAAAACUCAAAGGAAUUGACGGGGGCCCGCACAAGCGGCGGAGCAUGUGGAUUAAUUCGAUGCAACGCGAAGAACCUUACCUGGGCUUGACAUAUACAGGUUUGCUGCAGAAAUGUAGUGUCCCUUUGUGGUCUGUUUACAGGUGGUGCAUGGUUGUCGUCAGCUCGUGUCGUGAGAUGUUGGGUUAAGUCCCGCAACGAGCGCAACCCUUGUCUUAUGUUGCCAGCACGUGAUGGUGGGGACUCAUGAGAGACUGCCGGGGUUAACUCGGAGGAAGGUGGGGAUGACGUCAAAUCAUCAUGCCCCUUAUGCCCAGGGCUUCACACAUGCUACAAUGGUCGGUACAACGCGCAGCCAGCCCGUGAGGGUGAGCGAAUCGCUGAAAGCCGGCCUCAGUUCGGAUUGGGGUCUGCAACUCGACCCCAUGAAGUCGGAGUCGCUAGUAAUCGCAGAUCAGCAACGCUGCGGUGAAUACGUUCCCGGGCCUUGUACACACCGCCCGUCACGUCAUGAAAGUUGGUAACACCCGAAGCCAGUGGCCUAACCCUUGUGGGGGGAGCUGUCGAAGGUGGGAUCGGCGAUUGGGACGAAGUCGUAA